CGUGGGAGUCGCUGCCCAGGGCGGCCUUUGUGCACGGAGCUGCAGACACAGAGAUGACCCGGUGCCGCCCAGCAGGGGACAGGCCACCGUCCGGUACAGGCAGUUAGAGGAGUAAUCCCAGGGUACAAGCGCACACGACGGAAACCCUCGGGGACGUGGAGCGGGGCAGGGAGGAGGCGGGGACAGCUGGAACGAGGCGUGGGAGGCACGGCAGUGAGAAGCACUCGCGCGGUCCUGCAUGCAGAGGGGAGCCCCGAAGCGUUUGGGGUUGAAAAUGAGAAGAAGAGGGGCAAAGUGCGGCUGGCACGCGGGAAUCCCGUAGGUGAGGAGAGCCAGGGAGGACUCAGUUAAUUUGCAUUUUACAAAUGGCACCCCGCGGCCGGAGUGGUCAGGUUGGCAGGGAGUGAGGCCAGGGAAGCCUGCGGGAUUCCAAGCAGGACCAGGGAGGGCGCCAAGGAGUCGGCAGCCGUGAGAAUUGUCUGGGCCGAGGUUUCUCACGCUGCAGCCUGAGGACCUCCAGGGCGGCCUAGGCUCAACUCGAGGGGUCUUCAAGUGUCUCUGGAGAAAUGCCACCCUAGGAAACAAGUCUCAUUUCCUGAAAAGGACUUGCAGUUGCUCGUCUUCACUGCGUUGGACUUUUGCCUUUUACCCUGAAAAGGAUCGGACUACUGUAAGAGACUGAGAAUCGUUUGCUGGUGUUCUGACAGCAGGACCUGUUUUUCUCCAAGCUGGGGAAGGAUGCCAGGCGCAGUUUAGGGAGUAAAAUGACGACGUGUGUCCAGUGCGGGUGGAGAGGGUGCAAGAACCCUUGAUGGCUGGCUGGCAGGGCCUCUGGGGCCGUCGGGGAACAGAGGGCAGGUGCGGGGCAGCGUGGGGGAGUCUCUGGGAUCCCUUCCAGCCCUAAAGAAGGCCCAGGCCCACUUGGACUUCCUGCUCUUCUUUGUCCUGGCCCAGGAGUUUCCCUCCUCCCCUACGGGUCGGGCGCUGGGGACCUGGAGUUCGUCAGGAGGACUGUGGACUUCACCUCCCCGCUCUUCAAGCCCCUGACUGGCUUUCCCCUCGGCUCCUCUCUCCGGGAUUCCCUCUACUUCACAGACAACGGCCAGAUCAUCUUCCCAGAGUCAGACGACCAGAUUUUCUCCUACCCAAACCCGCUCCCGACAGGCUUCGCGGGCUGGGACCCUGUGGCCCUGGUGGCUCCGUUCUGGGAUGAUGCUGAUUUCUCCCAUGGUCGGGGGACCAUAUUUUACCGGGAAUACGAGACGCUGUACGGUGAACACAACCUGCUAGUCCUGCAGGCCGAGUCCUGGAUUAGAAAGAUGACAAACAACGGGGACUACAAGGCCAGGUGGACCCUAAAGGUCACGUGGGUCAGUGCCCACGCCUAUCCUGCCCAGUGGAGCCUCGGGGUGAGUAGACCCGCGGACAGCUCCCUGGGAGCCAUCUGGGAGUCAGACAUCCGCGAAUUCUAGGCAGGGGCUGCUCUUCCAAAGCCCUCUCUGGCUCCAGGAAAGAUUGCUAAUUAUAGCAAGCCCGCCCCACCCCGCCCACUG
Long non-coding RNA from Aotus nancymaae (Ma's night monkey), 1553 nucleotides. Lineage: Eukaryota; Metazoa; Chordata; Mammalia; Primates; Aotidae. The record is from Ensembl.